Molecule: transfer RNA, 73 nt
Filed under: Stegodyphus mimosarum
Lineage: Eukaryota; Metazoa; Arthropoda; Arachnida; Araneae; Eresidae
Rfam family: tRNA
About the family: Transfer RNA (tRNA) molecules are approximately 80 nucleotides in length. Their secondary structure includes four short double-helical elements and three loops (D, anti-codon, and T loops).
Source: Rfam by way of RNAcentral
GCCUUCGUGGUGUAGUGGUCAGCACGCCUGGCGCGUAUUCGAGAGGUCCGUGGUUCGAGUCCUGGCGAGGGCA